RNAcentral lists this long non-coding RNA (915 nucleotides) under Triticum aestivum (bread wheat). RNAcentral's name for it is "long non-coding RNA (TAES_LNC024845)". The record is from RNAcentral. Lineage: Eukaryota; Viridiplantae; Streptophyta; Magnoliopsida; Poales; Poaceae.
GUACAAAGCAUUUUCCUUGGUGUAUGCCAUAUUCGAAUGUCUUCUCGACAACCACAUAUACCAAUUUACUUUUUGAGAAUCUCAGAUUUUCCGCAAGCCACAACUCUGCUCUCUGCACUUGUCAUCUCACGGCUUGUCUUGUCUGUUUCAGCAUCCAGCAGAAGACAACAACAAUCUUGACUGUACAGCCUUCGAAUGCCUCGGGCACCAGCUUGUUGCGUCGAGGCAUGUUGGAAUGGAAAGCUAUGGAGAGGCGAUCUCAUGUUAUGGCUUGUAACUAUGUUAUGCCAGCUAUGUACCUUUGAUGAUCUAUUAUGAGCCUGAACAACCACUGUUGAUGCUAAAGUACAAGGUCUUGCGACUGAAGGCGUUCAUGGCGUAGUCGACCCGGAUUUGACCUAUGUCCAUGUUGAAGUGAACCAAAUCCCGGUUUCCCUUGCCGAAGAGCUGGAUUGCCAGAUAUAAUUUAGUGAAUGAUGAGUGAUCAUUGAACAAAAAACAGAGCAGGAUCAUCCGCAAAAAGAAAAAAACAGAGCAGGACGGAAUGAGUAUGGUCAAGUAUAUAUCAUAUCGACGUAUAUAUCAGAUCGACGUAUAUAAGAAUCAAGUGCAACACAUCGUAAUCAUCAUUGGUAUAUUGCACUAAAAGUUUCCUGACCAGGACUGAGCACGCGUCCAAAAGGAUGUUCGAGGACACUACUAGAACUCUUUUCCAAUUCUAUAGUAUGGAGCGCCCAUCAUUAUUAACAGGACAGAUAUGCUGGAGGGAUAGAACAGCUGAUAAGAGAAGUUGUACAAACUGAAAAAGAUGCAAACAACUGAAUUUCACUAGACGCUCACUUCAAACUUGACACUGUGUGGAGUGCUGAUUGCUCAAAUCAGCCGGGAAACAAGAAAAGGUUUGCUUAUGCAGAG